CCCCUUCUUAAAUCUUAACCCUAGCCUGUAGUCUACAGAUUAGUAGAUGAGAUGUCGCAUAUAGAUUACGCGCCGAUAUGCUUGGGCCUCGAGGAUUUCUACACGCGCUGUCUCUAUCUCCGCAUACAGGAGAGGCGAUUGCCUCAGUUUCCAGAACAAUAAUAGUUCCCCCCACCGCUGGCUGCAAUGCUCAAUUAUUUCUUACUGUUGUUUGUUAUUUCUGAUGCAUUCCUUUCUGAUUUGACCGACCAAGCAAUAGAUAACAAGUAUUUUGACUCCCUUGGUACAUAGACGUCCUGCAUUUAAGUGCCUGUAGGAUGCUGGUGUGUGCUCACUCCAAAGACGUCCUACCACCAAGGCUAGUUGUUGAGUGCUGGUAGAAAGGAUACCCGUGAGAUGGAUCUGCUAGUAUUAAGUGCUAGUUAACUUAUUCAUUGUGCUCUCUGCAGAUAUUUGAUUAUUAAGUACUAGUUAACAAAAAAGUAGCUCUUGUGAGAUUGACUUGAUGGCAUGCUUGAAACCGAUCACAUUUUUUUCAUGGCAUAUAUUUGAUUAUUGUUUGUUUACUGGUUAUAGCAUUUGAGAGUGAUCUCUUGGUCAGUUCAAUUCCCGUUGCCUAUUGUUUCCUUCAUAUUUUGAAGUCUACCAUUUAUCUGUGCAUAUUUUUUAUACCAUGCCAGGAUGCUAAUGUAAAUUCAGUAAUGAAGCUAGUUUUCUUUGUCUACCCUGGUACCCCAAAACAAAGGUAUGAAAGCAUAUUUGUUAUUUCAGCUUUAACUUCUCCAGCAAACCAUGCCCAAUUGAUUAGCAGGAGGUCUGAUCCUGCAAUACAAAAGCUAUUGAGGGAAGUGCUGUUCUGGGUCUGUUGCUGCUCGACAAAGGGAAGCAACGCCUUUUAGGCUUUAGGUUAGGUAUGCAAUUAAAAGCUGAGAAGGAUGCAAAAUUUGAGCUCGUGCUUGAAACAUGGCUUCGCUUGAAGCUACUUUUUGGCAUAUUGCCAGAUUUUGUGCUAGAUUAACUAGACUUAAACUUAUUUCUUGCUGGAUCAAAUAACUUUGAUGUUGUAUGUAUGUGAUGAGAUGUUGGAUCAGAAUUUAUCUAUAUAUAUGAGCUGGUUUAUAUCUUGAUUUGUGCUAAAAUGAUAAUUGAUUAAUUAGAAAAA
This is an RNA transcript of Panicum virgatum (switchgrass), 1162 nucleotides long. RefSeq lists it as uncharacterized. The record is from RefSeq and is a predicted model, not a curated record. NCBI's taxonomy places the organism in Eukaryota, Viridiplantae, Streptophyta, Magnoliopsida, Poales, Poaceae. The transcript has 3 exons.